RNAcentral lists this transfer RNA (85 nucleotides) under Clostridia bacterium. Its description in RNAcentral is "tRNA-Leu". It matches the Rfam family "tRNA". Rfam says of the family: Transfer RNA (tRNA) molecules are approximately 80 nucleotides in length. Lineage: Bacteria; Bacillati; Bacillota; Clostridia. The record is from RNAcentral.
GCGGUCGUGGCGGAAUUGGCAGACGCGCACGGUUGAGGGCCGUGUGCCGAAAGGUGUGUGGGUUCAAGUCCCACCGACCGCACCA